GGGCCGAGCAUAUCCUGUCCAAAUCCUGUCCUAUACUCCUAUUUCGUCAUCCUCCAGGAGUUGGUGAUGGCUGCUUUUGUAGGGGAACUUUUUUUGUGAGUUUGGAAUACUCUGUUCAGUCGCUGUUGAUCAUACCUGGGCCCAAGCGGCAGCAGCCCGCCGCGGUAUAACCCAUUUAAUGUUCCAUGUUACGCCGCCCUUUAUAUGAUGCUCUCUAAUUCUGGUCAAGCGACCAGUUUCCAGAUAUUCUGAGCCAAGUAUGCAUGAAAAUAUCAUCACAGC
This 282-nucleotide small RNA is filed under the name Cryptococcus neoformans H99. RNAcentral's name for it is "Cryptococcus neoformans var. grubii H99 hypothetical RNA". The record is from RNAcentral. Lineage: Eukaryota; Fungi; Basidiomycota; Tremellomycetes; Tremellales; Cryptococcaceae.